AUACUUACCUGGCAGGGGAGAUACCAUGAUCACGAAGGUGGUUUUCCCAGGGCGAGGCUUAUCCAUUGCACUCCGGAUGUGCUGACCCCUGCGAUUUCCCCAAAUGUGGGAAACUCGACUGCAUAAUUUGUGAUAGUGGGGGACUGCGUUCGCGCUCUCCCCUG
Molecule: small nuclear RNA, 164 nt
Filed under: Carlito syrichta (Philippine tarsier)
Lineage: Eukaryota; Metazoa; Chordata; Mammalia; Primates; Tarsiidae
Description: U1 spliceosomal RNA (ENSTSYG00000032826.1)
Rfam family: U1 spliceosomal RNA
About the family: U1 is a small nuclear RNA (snRNA) component of the spliceosome (involved in pre-mRNA splicing).
Source: Rfam by way of RNAcentral